AAUGCAAAUUCUCUGCCAGUAUUUUCUGAUAACAUACUGCAUUAAUCUUGCCAUCAAUAUUCCCCGAGAUUCCCUUCUCCUUUAGAGCUCACACACCCCCAAAACAUCAGUGAGCCACCACCAUGCCUCACAGUGGGGAUGGUAUUCUGAUCACUAUAGGCCUUGUUUACCCCUUUCCAAACAUAGACCUUAUGGUUGUGACCACAAAGCUCUAAUUUGGUCUCGUCACUCGAAAUUACAGUGUGCCAGAGGUUGUGUGGCGUGUCAAGGUGUUGUCAAGCAUAUUGUAACCAGGCUUUUUUGUGGCAUUGGAGUAGCAAAGGCUUCUUCCUUUCGACCUUGCAGCAAAUUUUUGUUCAAGUAUCAUCGUAUUGUGUUCCUUGAAACAACCACACCGUCUUUUUCCAGAGCAGCCUGCAUUUCUCCUGAGGUAACCUGUAGGUUUUUCUUUGUAUCUGUGGGUUUAUCUUUGUAUAUUGAUUGAACAGUACUGACUGGAAUUUACAAGGCUUUUGAUAUCUUUUUAUAUCCUUUUCCAUCUUUAUAAAGUCCCAUUACCUUGGUACUCAGGUCUUAUGACAGUUAUUUUCUGCUCCCCAUGGCUCAGUAUCAAGCCUGCUCACUGUGUCCACAUAAGAGCUAAUAAACAAUUGACUAUUUAUACACAGAUAAUAAUUGCAAUUAAAAAAACACAGGUGUGGGAAAUUAACCUUUAAUUGCCAAUUGCACCUCUGUGUCACCUUGUGUGUCUGUAACAAGGCCCAACGUAGAGAGCAUUUAGUAAUUGUUAUUAUUUAUGGAAAACAUUCUUAAUAAUAAAUAAAUAUAAUAACAUUUCAGGAACAAGAAUUUUCAGGUGAAAGUAAGUAUGGAGGAAAGAGAAUAAUUGAGAAGAAUAAUUGAGAAAAUAAUAAUAAAAAGUUAUGUUGAUAUUUGGCAAGAAUAAUACAAAAUUCACCCCAAGGCAAAACGUAUGGAUUUGUAGAAUCAGCAUAUUCUUCUUUUUUUUCACUUCUGCACUUCAUACUGAGACCCAGAUACAGGAAACUUCUAACCUCGAACCGACCCCUCCCAGACAGUAACACAGCAGACAGACUUUGCUUCUUCUGCAAAUAUUGUUACUUGUAGUUAUGAAUUGGGGAACAAACAUAUUUUCUGCAAGGUUGAGGUAAUUCAUGCCACAGGUUUAUUACAGAUAAGAUGGUUUAGUAUGUUGCCUCUUCCUCUUGUCUCUUGCCUCUUGUAUGGAGGAAUGGGUCAAAAUCCCUGCUGCAGUGUGUGCAAACCUGG
Molecule: long non-coding RNA, 1290 nt
Organism: Esox lucius (northern pike)
Lineage: Eukaryota; Metazoa; Chordata; Actinopteri; Esociformes; Esocidae
Source: Ensembl